This 519-nucleotide ribosomal RNA is filed under the name uncultured eukaryote. RNAcentral's name for it is "bacterial SSU rRNA". It matches the Rfam family "Eukaryotic small subunit ribosomal RNA", at positions 1161 to 1689 of the family's 1831-position model. The record is from RNAcentral.
AGGGCACCACCAGGAGUGGAGCCUGCGGCUUAAUUUGACUCAACACGGGAAAACUCAUCCGGCCCGGACACCGUAAGGAUUGACGGAUUGAGAGCUCUUUCUUGAUUCGGUGGUUGGUGGUGGGUGGGCGGUGCAUGGCCGUGGAUCGAUUGUGGAGCUUUUGCCUGGUUAAUUCCGAUAACAAACGAUACUCUAGCCUACUAAAUAGACUGCCGGCUCAUAUCCGCCGGCAGGACUUCUUACAGGGACAGGCGGCGACUCACCCGCACGAAACAGAGCAAUAACAGGUCUGUGAUGCCCUUAGAUGUCCGGGGCCGCACGCGCGCUACACUGAAGUGAUCAGCGUGCAUCAGUAACCCUCUCUGUCAAGAGUGGGUAACCCAAUGAACCUUCUUCGUGAUUGGGAUAGGGCAUUGUAAUUAUUGCCCUUGAACGAGGAAUUCCCAGUAAGCGCGAGUCAUAAGCUUGCGUUGAUUACGUCCCUGCCCUUUGUACACACCGCCCGUCGCUACUACCGAU